ACGCAUCACAGGUGAAUUUACAACCGAGAUACAUCAUGUCGACCACAAUCACCCUGCUUUUGUGCCUGGCUCUCUCAGCUGCUUUUGGUCUGCCUGCUGAUGAGUCUGGCCCCGUAAGCAUCAAUAAACGCAACAUUGACAACACUCGG
Penaeus vannamei (Pacific white shrimp) is the source of this 149-nucleotide non-coding RNA. The record is from RefSeq and is a predicted model, not a curated record. Lineage: Eukaryota; Metazoa; Arthropoda; Malacostraca; Decapoda; Penaeidae.